RNAcentral lists this transfer RNA (74 nucleotides) under Nocardioides nematodiphilus. RNAcentral describes it as "tRNA-Lys". It matches the Rfam family "tRNA". Rfam says of the family: Transfer RNA (tRNA) molecules are approximately 80 nucleotides in length. Their secondary structure includes four short double-helical elements and three loops (D, anti-codon, and T loops). RNAcentral also lists the same sequence under 1 other name. The record is from RNAcentral. Lineage: Bacteria; Bacillati; Actinomycetota; Actinomycetes; Propionibacteriales; Nocardioidaceae.
GCCCCGUUAGCUCAGUUGGUUAGAGCAGCGGACUUUUAAUCCGCGGGUCGUCGGUUCGAGCCCGACACGGGGUA